Molecule: ribosomal RNA, 375 nt
Filed under: uncultured bacterium
Lineage: Bacteria
Description: bacterial SSU rRNA
Rfam family: Bacterial small subunit ribosomal RNA
Source: RNAcentral
UAAGACGAAGGUGGCUAGCGUUAUUCGGAUUUACUGGGCAUAAAGCGCGCGUAGGCGGCUUGGCAAGUCGGAGGUGAAAGCCUGCAGCUCAACUGCGGUGUGCCUCCGAAACUGCCGAGCUUGAGUGCGGGAGGGGUGAUUGGAACUCCAGGUGUAGCGGUGAAAUGCGUAGAUAUCUGGAGGAACACCAGAGGCGAAGGCGAAUCACUGGACCGCAACUGACGCUGAGGCGCGAAAGCUAGGGGAGCAAACAGGAUUAGAUACCCUGGUAGUCCUAGCUGUAAACGAUGGGCACUAGGCAGUGGAGAUCCGAUGUCGUCACUGUCGAAACAAAUGCGAUAAGUGCCCCGCCUGGGGAGUACGGCCGCAAGGCUG